RNAcentral lists this small nucleolar RNA (108 nucleotides) under Olea europaea subsp. europaea. RNAcentral describes it as "Plant small nucleolar RNA R71". It matches the Rfam family "Plant small nucleolar RNA R71". Rfam says of the family: R71 is a member of the C/D box family of snoRNAs containing the C (UGAUGA) and D (CUGA) box motifs. The record is from Rfam by way of RNAcentral. Lineage: Eukaryota; Viridiplantae; Streptophyta; Magnoliopsida; Lamiales; Oleaceae.
AGUCUUUGUUGUGGGCAUUGGUGCAGUAAACCCUUUGUAUCGUUCCCAGGCCUCUAAAUAGCAUUUUAAAUCCAGUUGUUGGAAAGUAGUGAUCUCAUCCUUUAGCCU